GGGUUGUAGCUCAGUGGUGGAGUGCUUGCCUAGUACAUGUGAGGCCCUGGGUUCAAUCCCCAGCCCUA
This 68-nucleotide transfer RNA is filed under the name Marmota monax (woodchuck). RNAcentral's name for it is "tRNA.Thr". Lineage: Eukaryota; Metazoa; Chordata; Mammalia; Rodentia; Sciuridae. The record is from RNAcentral.